RNAcentral lists this ribosomal RNA (254 nucleotides) under uncultured bacterium. RNAcentral's name for it is "partial 16S ribosomal RNA". It matches the Rfam family "Bacterial small subunit ribosomal RNA", at positions 524 to 776 of the family's 1533-position model. The record is from RNAcentral.
UACGUAGGGUGCAAGCGUUGUCCGGAAUUAUUGGGCGUAAAGAGCUCGUAGGCGGUUUGUCGCGUCUGCUGUGAAAACCCGAGGCUCAACCUCGGGCCUGCAGUGGGUACGGGCAGACUAGAGUGCGGUAGGGGAGAUUGGAAUUCCUGGUGUAGCGGUGGAAUGCGCAGAUAUCAGGAGGAACACCAAUGGCGAAGGCAGAUCUCUGGGCCGUAACUGACGCUGAGGAGCGAAAGCAUGGGGGAGCGAACAGG